GAAUGAGGAGGGAUGGUAACAGUCUUCACUGCAGAACCUAGAUAUUUUGUGAUGUCUGACUAAUGCUGCUCGGAGAGGAUGUAGGAAAGAAGAGAGUUCUCCAAUUGACAGAAAGCAAAGAAGAAAUGAUUGUAAAGGGCUGGCACUGCUUAUAGUUAAAAGAGAGACACGAUUUAGAUACUGAGAUCCCUUUGCAGGAUGAAGCUUAAUGAGGUCUAUGUGGUCACAGAGGGAUAAAACACUGCGAGAUCAGAUGUGGCCCUGUGUUGUGUGUGAGAGCAGGACCUUUGAGCUGGAAAAAUACAGCUUACGAUUCUUAUGGCAACGUACAAAUAUCUCACACAAAGCGGCAUGCUGUUUGUGGGUCUGAAACCACAGCUAUCACCUUCCAUCCCCCACAGCAGAUUUUAUGGCUAUUUCAAAGUCUAUCCUGAAAUUUAACAGAAUUUAUGCAGAGUCAGAUAGCAGAUGGCGAAAUAUUUUGAUAGACUCUACUUAAGAUACUGUCCAUUGUAGAAUGAAGUUGUAGUUUUAGAUAUCUGUAUUUAUACUGAGCUUUCCAAUAUUCAAUCAGUGAGGAUGGAGACAAAGAAAUAAUAUAAUAAGAAAGAAACAAGUCACCAAUGUUUGUCAAGCAUUUCCUUGAAAGUGCAACAAGGUUGAAAUAUUUCCUAAAUCUGGACUCUUCUAUGAAAAAAAAAAAAAAAGUAAUAAUUUAAAAAAUCACGUUACCCUUAUUUUGGAUUUUGUUAUAAUGCUGUAUUGGAUACCUAUAAUACAUCGUAGAAUUGGAAUCAGAUAAUACAAUCAUAUCCCACUUAAUCAUUAUGAAGCAUGCUUGGCAAUCAAUCAAAAAAUCAGCUAAAGGUAAAAUAUCCUGAAGGCAGUGUAGAAUUGAUGGGGUUUGUCUCUGUGUGUGUGCAGAAGUGUGAGACACACAAACCUUAAGAAAAAUGUCAUGCCUCCAAACU
This is a long non-coding RNA of Phasianus colchicus (ring-necked pheasant), 971 nucleotides long. RefSeq lists it as uncharacterized. The record is from RefSeq and is a predicted model, not a curated record. Lineage: Eukaryota; Metazoa; Chordata; Aves; Galliformes; Phasianidae.